RNAcentral lists this ribosomal RNA (378 nucleotides) under Triticum aestivum (bread wheat). Its description in RNAcentral is "partial small subunit ribosomal RNA". Lineage: Eukaryota; Viridiplantae; Streptophyta; Magnoliopsida; Poales; Poaceae. The record is from RNAcentral.
AUGAGGCAACUUCACCAAAGUCACAAUCUCUCAUGGUUACUGAUAGGAGACCUUAAUGAAAUCCAAUUUCUCCAUGAGAAGGAGGGAGGUAAUCCCAGACCUCUUCAGUAUAUGCAAGCGUUUCAAGAUGCCAUCGAUGAUUGUGAACUACAUGAUCUAGGAUUUGUUGGGGACCGAUUCACAUGGUACAGAGGGGGGAUUAGGGAGCGACUUGAUAGGGGAUUGGUGAAUGACUCAUGGUCAAAUCUAUUUCCCCAAGCAUCACUGGAAAAUUUGGAGUUCAACCACUCAGACCAUCGCCCGAUGUUACUGGAUACUAACAAUUAUGGUCGUUGGGCCAAUGGGGCUAGUAUACACCCAAAAAGGUUUGAGGCCUGA